This is a non-coding RNA of Podarcis lilfordi (Lilford's wall lizard), 69 nucleotides long. The record is from the annotation of a GenBank genome assembly. Lineage: Eukaryota; Metazoa; Chordata; Lepidosauria; Squamata; Lacertidae.
GCUGGGAUAGCUCAGUUAGUAGAGCACCUCUUAAUCUCAGGGUUGUGGGUUUGAGCCCCACGCUGGGCA